GAUGAACGCUGGCGGCGUGCCUAAUACAUGCAAGUCGAGCGAACGGACGAGGAGCUUGCUGCUCUGACGUUAGCGGCGGACGGGUGAGUAACACGUGGAUAACCUACCUAUAAGACUGGGAUAACUUCGGGAAACCGGAGCUAAUACCGGAUAAUAUUUUGAACCGCAUGGUUCAAAAGUGAAAGACGGUCUUGCUGUCACUUAUAGAUGGAUCCGCGCUGCAUUAGCUAGUUGGUAAGGUAACGGCUUACCAAGGCAACGAUGCAUAGCCGACCUGAGAGGGUGAUAGGCCACACUGGAACUGAGACACGGUCAAGACUCCUAAGGGAGGCAGCAGUAGGGAACCUUACGCAAUGGGCGAAAGCCUGACGGAGCAACGCCGAGUGAGUGAUGAAGGCCUUCGGAUCGUAAAACUCUGUUAUGAGGGAAGAACAUAUGUGUAAGUAACUGUGCACAUCUUGACGGUACCUAAUCAGAAAGCCACGGCUAACUACGUG
This 497-nucleotide ribosomal RNA is filed under the name uncultured bacterium. RNAcentral describes it as "partial 16S ribosomal RNA". It matches the Rfam family "Bacterial small subunit ribosomal RNA", at positions 28 to 507 of the family's 1533-position model. The record is from RNAcentral.